UACGUAGGGCGCAAGCGUUGUCCGGAAUUACUGGGCGUAAAGCGUGCGCAGGCGGUUCGCCAAGUCAGGUGUGAAAUCCCCGGGCUUAACCUGGGAAUUGCGCUUGAAACUAGCGGGCUUGAGUGUGGCAGAGGGGGGUGGAAUUCCACGUGUAGCAGUGAAAUGCGUAGAGAUGUGGAGGAACACCGAUGGCGAAGGCAGCCCCCUGGGUCAACACUGACGCUCAUGCACGAAAGCGUGGGGAGCAAACAGG
This 253-nucleotide ribosomal RNA is filed under the name uncultured bacterium. RNAcentral's name for it is "partial 16S ribosomal RNA". It matches the Rfam family "Bacterial small subunit ribosomal RNA", at positions 524 to 776 of the family's 1533-position model. The record is from RNAcentral.